This is a long non-coding RNA of Lontra canadensis (Northern American river otter), 361 nucleotides long. RefSeq lists it as uncharacterized. The record is from RefSeq and is a predicted model, not a curated record. The transcript has 3 exons. NCBI's taxonomy places the organism in Eukaryota, Metazoa, Chordata, Mammalia, Carnivora, Mustelidae.
UGUCCGUUUGCUCCCGACUGUUAUUAACUGUGUCACUGAGUACAUAAGAAAGGGUUUUGAAGGAAUUCCAGUGUGAAUCCACUAAUUCAAUAAUCCAAUAACAUAAAUUCAAGUAAUGGAUAUUAAUACUAUGUUCAAAACAGGCUCGCAACUUUUAUAUCUCUCUUUCUCCGACAGACAGAGCAUGCGUCGCGGAGAGGCUCCUGAUGAAAUAAUAAAACCCAAUUCUCAUCUAGAAAAAAGAAUCAUUAUAGGAGGAUGGUCCUUGCUAUCAAAGGAACGGACCAGAGGCAAGGAAUUCUCUCACUCAAAUGUGUUCUCACUUACUCGUCCCUUCCCAAGUAAUUUCCAAAUUGCUUUA